GGACGCGUAGCUCAGCUGGUUAGAGCGUUACCUCGACAUGGUAAAGGUCACAGGUUCGAUCCCUGUCGCGUCCA
RNAcentral lists this transfer RNA (74 nucleotides) under Candidatus Curtissbacteria bacterium. Its description in RNAcentral is "tRNA-Val". It matches the Rfam family "tRNA". From Rfam's summary of the family: Transfer RNA (tRNA) molecules are approximately 80 nucleotides in length. The record is from RNAcentral. Lineage: Bacteria; Candidatus Curtissiibacteriota.